This 528-nucleotide ribosomal RNA is filed under the name Triticum aestivum (bread wheat). RNAcentral describes it as "partial small subunit ribosomal RNA". The record is from RNAcentral. Lineage: Eukaryota; Viridiplantae; Streptophyta; Magnoliopsida; Poales; Poaceae.
AUGGGGCGGGAGGUGUCGGAGAGCUGCGUUGAUGGGGUGGUGAUGGAGAUGGUGGCUGCCUACUGCGGCCGCUUCUACGCCGCCAAGCCGGAGCUCGCCGCCGGUCGCAUUGAGGCCAUCGGCUUCCAGGUUGGCCAUCAGCUCUCCGAGAGGUACACGAUGGAGCGCCCUCGAUUUACUGAUCAUCUUGAGGCAAUCAAAUUUAUUUGCAAAGAUUUUUGGUCAGAACUGUUCAAGAAGCAGAUUGACAAUCUGAAAACAAAUCAUAGGGGUACCUUCGUUCUUCAAGAUAACCAUUUCCGGUGGCUUACUCGUGUUUCUCUAGAUCCAGCAGUAGAGAGCACUGAUGCAACUGAGAAUGACUCUGGGUCAUUGGGUGAUUCUGCAGCCCAAACAACAAGCAUGCUUUUAUAUUUCCCAUGUGGGUUAAUAAGAGGUGCUCUCACAAACUUGGGAAUUCCGUGUGCUGUCUCUGCAGAUAUGUCAAACCUUCCAGCAUGUUCUUUUGUGGUGCGCAUAAAGACAUGA